CAGUAGUCCUCGUGUAUAGAGGAUUGGCAUCCAAAUAUAUACCGCAUGACCUGAAGACCCUGACAAAGCUUUUACACUAUCUGUCAUCUCAUUUCUUGACAAUCUUUUUAACAGUUUAGCAUGUAUUUUAAGGUACAUAUAAAGUAUAGAUUCACCAUUUUUUUUAAAAAAAAUUCGUGUUCAGUAUAAAAAUUUAAGUAUUAAACUUUUAUUAUAAGGAAAAAAGUUUUAUAAUAAUUUAUCAAACUAUAUUCGAUAAGAGUCUUAAAAUGCCUAGCCCCCAUCCCCAAUGUAAACAAUUGAGGGGACGGAGGGAGUAAUACAAUAUUACAAGUUUACAACAUACCCUGCAUAGAGAAUGGUGUUAUUAAAGCUGUUUCUCUGUGUCUUUAGAAACUUUAAAUUGUCUUCAUGUUUCUUGAUUGUUAGACCUUCCUUUGUCAAAGCAUCUUGUAAUUUCUGCAAUAUUGAACAUAACAGAGCAUUCAAUUAUCAAUAACAGACAAAAGCACACAUACAUAUACAGUGAUAGUUGAUGAUAGCAUAUUGAACUCAGAUGUUCGUCUGUUACCUUGGAAGCAUCAUCAACUGCUUGUGCCCGCUAGACUGUCCAAAUUUCCAGUUUACGCUUUCCAGAAAUAUCACACCGAUCUUGGUCCACUAGUGCUAAUGGAAAUGAAUCCUGGGCAGCUGAGGCAUUUAUCUGCUUUUAAAAAAUGAUCGAGUAUCUAGUCAAUAUCUAAUUAGAAGAUGCGAUAUUAGGGUAUAUGGAAGCCUCAGCAAAUUCCGAACCGGAAGACUGCAGAAUUUUACAGACAGACC
This 822-nucleotide long non-coding RNA is filed under the name Daucus carota (carrot). RNAcentral's name for it is "long non-coding RNA (DCAR_LNC001703)". The record is from RNAcentral. Lineage: Eukaryota; Viridiplantae; Streptophyta; Magnoliopsida; Apiales; Apiaceae.